This 506-nucleotide ribosomal RNA is filed under the name uncultured bacterium. RNAcentral's name for it is "partial 16S ribosomal RNA". It matches the Rfam family "Bacterial small subunit ribosomal RNA", at positions 29 to 523 of the family's 1533-position model. The record is from RNAcentral.
AGUGAACGCUGGCGGUAGGCCUAACACAUGCAAGUCGAACGGCAGCACAGGAGAGCUUGCUCUCUGGGUGGCGAGUGGCGGACGGGUGAGGAAUACAUCGGAAUCUACUCUGUCGUGGGGGAUAACGUAGGGACACUUACGCUAAUACAGCAUACGACCUACGGGUGAAAGCAGGGGAUCUUCUGACCUUGCGCGAUUGAAUGAGCCGAUGUCGGAUUAGCUAGUUGGCCGGGUAAAGGCCCACCAAGGCGACGGUCCGUAGCUGGUCUGAGAGGAGGAUCAGCCACACUGGAACUGCGACACGGUCCAGACUCCUACGGGAGGCAGCAGUGGGGAAUAUUGGACAAUGGGCGCAAGCCUGAUCCAGCCAUACCGCGUGGGUGAAGAAGGCCUUCGGGUUGUAAAGCCCUUUUGUUGGGAAAGAAAUCCAGCAGGCUAAUACCCGGUUGGGAUGACGGUACCCAAAGAAUAAGCACCGGCUAACUUCGUGCCAUCCGCCGCGGUAA